This 253-nucleotide ribosomal RNA is filed under the name uncultured bacterium. RNAcentral's name for it is "partial 16S ribosomal RNA". It matches the Rfam family "Bacterial small subunit ribosomal RNA", at positions 524 to 776 of the family's 1533-position model. The record is from RNAcentral.
UACGGGGGGGGCAAGCGUUGUUCGGAAUUACUGGGCGUAAAGGGUUCGUAGGUGGCCAACUAAGUCAUACGUGAAAUCCCUCAGCUUAACUGGGGAACUGCGUCUGAUACUGGUUGGCUUGAGUGCAGGAGAGGAACGCGGAAUUCCAGGUGUAGCGGUGAAAUGCGUAGAUAUCUGGAGGAACACCGGUGGCGAAGGCGGCGUUCUGGACUGCAACUGACACUGAUGCGCGAAAGCCAGGGGAGCGAACGGG